This 2730-nucleotide long non-coding RNA is filed under the name Bemisia tabaci. RNAcentral describes it as "lncRNA ENSSSA1NGG000017". The record is from RNAcentral. Lineage: Eukaryota; Metazoa; Arthropoda; Insecta; Hemiptera; Aleyrodidae.
UGUUAACCCUAUCAGGAGGAUGAGUCGUCCUCAUUUUUGUUCUAGAAACCUCUAAAUUUUGCAGUGCGCAUGCUAAUUUUGAAAUUGUUAAUCUAAUCAUAAUGUGGGCUUAUGAAACCUAAUUAGUGAGUGCUGUAUCUACUUUACUUAGUCCUGUUUAAAUGACUUAAAGUAAUCAAUGCAUAUAUUGGUGCAUACAAGCCUCUGGGGAAAUGAAGAACUAGGUGACUCGAGACGCUACAGAGGAAAAGUGUACCGUAAUUUAUUUUUUUAUCAAUUUCUCAUAACUUAUUAAUACCUAGUAUAAUUUAUUUUUUCUUCUAUUUUUGUUCAAGCAUAAUCCCAAAGGUCACUCUAAAAGUGAAGUUCCUUAUUUUAUAUCUUUGGAAAUGAACUAGAUAAAUCAAAUCGAUGAAAGGUGAUCUCUUAACUGCCAACUUGAUUGACAAUGGGACCACCUCCCAUAACAGUGGGACUACCUUUCGGUGUAUUAGUGGAUUUUAAUGAAAUUUCCUAACCUUUCCCUUCCUUAAUAUUUCCCUAAACUUUCUUAAAAUAAGAGGGCGUUUAAAGCAAAAAAGUUGCAUUUCUCUUAGCAUUCUUACAUUUUCAGCAUCAAGUUAAUUCAUUGGUUCCUCAUUUUUGAAUACUCGGCUUGUCAAAACAUACAGGUUCCCUUGUUUUUACACUGAAUUUUUAAAAAAACAUUCACAAUUAAUCCAUUGAUAUUUUUCCUGUCGAUUUCGGAAGGUAUAACAAUUUCGUCAAUAAAAAAGGAAACCAGUACACCAAGAGAUGAAUACGGGCUGCAGAGAGAGAUCGGGUGAACCCGAAUUGGUUCCCGUGGCCGUCACCCUUAGUCCGAACUGGUUCCCGGAUGAAACAAAACCCCGGUCCGCACUGGUUCCCGAUUCAAAAUUUUCCAUGUCCGCAUUGGUUCUUGCAAAUGGGAACUAAUUCGGACACGGGAACCAAUACGGAAAUGACCGUCAUCGGAAAUGGGAACCAAUUCGACCACUUGAGAACCGAUUCGGCAACUCCCGAGAGAUCAUAGCAGGAAAUCUGAAUUUUUCUGAAACUGGUGCAAGUGCACACAAAAAACUAUUGACUAUUUAUUAUGUUUUCUUAGUACAGUUAACUUACUGCAGUUAUUUAAUUUUAUCACUAAGCAGGAUUCAUUUAAGAUCUUUUCCUUAAACUAUGUUUUUGGUAAACAGUUGGAAAAUAUAUACAGUUACAAAUAACAGUCAGUAGACAGUUAUAUUAUAUAACAGUUGUUAAUAUAUACAUGUAUUAUAAAUUUAGUAUCCAGUAAGAUAUUAUUCAGCUCUUUUCACCUAAAUUAGUUCGUACAAUUAGCUCAAUAGAGGACCGCAUUAAUUUAAGGCAGUGAAUGAAAAGUUUUUACUACUUGAGUUUUAAAUGAAAAUAGGACAGACAUAUAGGUAAACAGCUCCUUUUAGAACGAAUCUUGCUGACAAUAUCAAAUUGUGUUUGUUCAUUUAAUCAUAUUGUCAAAUAAGGGGGAAUGGGGUAAGCAUUUGAGCAAUAUUACUACGGGUGCCCACUUCUCAGGGGUGGAAAUAUAAUCAGAGAAGAGACCCAAAAAAGUCCUCAUAGAUUCCCAUUCGAUCAGUUGGAAAUUCUCCUGACUAGCUAUGACCUUUAGGGAAAAAAAUGCAACAACAGUCUAUUUUUCGUGUUCGACCAAUCAAAUAGUCUAUAUUUUGAAAGGUAAUUCGGUCGGUGAGACAUUUUUUAAAAUUUUUUUAAGACUUUUUAAACCCCUUUUACAAUUAGGUAUGUCUUUUUGAGGCUUUUUGAAAAUUUAACGACAACAAAGGGACCUGUUCAAUAAAGUAUUCUGCACGGACACUGUACUGAGCUGUGCCCAUUUUCUCGAAAUUUCGAUUUUUGGUAAUGUGGCAACACUACUUUUCCGAAAUCCAGGCACAAAAUUCAGGUCAGCUCACUGCUCAGUAAAGGGACACGGCGGGUCGGGCUUCAACAACGACUGGCGCGGCGCGGCGCGGCGGCGCAGUAAAGAAAGAAAAGGCCUCUUGCAUUCAUUUCCACCCUUGUUUUCAUGAAAUAAUAAAAAUAAAGACACAAGAGUCAAGACCUUUGUGAUAAGUGCUUCCAUCCCAAUGUUGCCAACUUGGAGCAACUGUAAUUAAAUAUGUCAUGCCUUACAGAGCCUCUAGCUGACGCAUAAAAAAUGGCAGGGAGGCAACGCAGAGGAGCCCAGCCUAGCCCCUGGUUCUACGGCAAAACCAGCCGUUCUUUGGGGGUUUUAUUCAUUGGCAGCGUUGUGUCGCUAGACUCUCUCUCUUACCUAUCUAGUCGAGUCAAAUAAGGCCUUGAUCUUCUGAAUAAAAUGAGCCCAAAAAACUCAAACAUACAAUUAGUUCCGGGUUCAACCCUUAUUUGACUCCACUGAUCCGAAUUUGAAGACAAAUCUAAUCAAUUAGUUGAUUCAUAGAACCGCGCAAAAUUAUAUUAUCUCUGCUACAAAAGAAGCGAAAUUUCUUGUAAGGUUAACCUUAAGUAUCAUUGAAAAACAAGCAAAAAUAGCCCCUCCGUCCUGCGGUCCAAGAAAUUCAAAGAGUUUAAUGCAAAGCCAGAUUUACAAUAUACGCACGUAGGCACGUAAGGUACCCGGGGGGCCCCACGUAAGGGACUGAUGACUAUUUUUGACCCUUCAAAUUAUUGGCAGUUUGACACUUUUUU